Molecule: long non-coding RNA, 1183 nt
Filed under: Cucumis sativus (cucumber)
Lineage: Eukaryota; Viridiplantae; Streptophyta; Magnoliopsida; Cucurbitales; Cucurbitaceae
Description: long non-coding RNA (CSAT_LNC002016)
Source: RNAcentral
AAGUGUCAAUGAAGUUACCAUAUGGAGAUCUAUUUUUAUCCUUUGACCCAGAAGGACUCUUAUGCUUCCCACUAUCAAGCAAUGAUGCUGAAGACAGUGAGCGACUUCGUCUUAGACCAGUACCUGCAUUCAGUUCAUCAAUAUCAGGUUCAUUCUUUCAUAAUUUGGAAGAAAAGCUAUUGUAACUACAUGCUACAUUGCCCAACCGACCUUCAAAUGGCUGUUCUGUGAUGCCUUGUUUUUCUGUUUUUGAUGGGGAAACUUCAGAACUGCCAUUGCUAGGUGCUGAAGAUCUGAAAAAGAACAAUUUCUUCAUUGUAUGAACUCUAUACUGGAUUUUAACUGGUGAACUCUACGGCCCUUGACCCCUGCUCUUCACUACCAAACCUACCACAAAUUAAAAACAGUUCACUAUUGAUGGAUGGAUAUAAAGAGAAGAAUCAUAGUAGCAACGCAUCCAUCAUACGCAGUACAUAAAUUAUGAGAGAGAAGUAAAGCUGUACCAAUAGAUGUAACCCCGACGAAAACAAAUUACGAGAUAAAUGAUUAGAAAAAGGAACUAAGUUAGUUAAUUAAUUAGUUACAUCCAUAGAAAAGCUAAUACCAAGUUAAAAAAAUAAGCUGAAAAAAUGCCAGAAAUCCACAAACAGAAAGUACUGUUUAUACAAUGUAAUACAACAACAGUCUAUUGACUGAAAACUCAAAAAGAAACAUAAUAAAUUAGCCAAACACCAUCGAGCUGCCAACGAGAUUUGCAAGAAUCAAUGAAUACAAACGAGAAAACCCAGAAAUCUCAUACUCACCAUCCACCUAUUAAUUUUCAGAAAGAGAAGAAAGAAAAGGUAAUGACAUAGUAAGCUGGGUCAAAAGGAAAAAAAAAAAAACAAGCGGGAUUCAGAAGAAGUAAAGUCUUAUACUAAAGAACAAAUGAACAGGAAAAGAUCUAAAUAACCUGUCCCCCCCACCCCCACAAAACCUCAGUUUCCGAUAUCAUUUCACCGCAAUUAACGGAAACCAAAUUCCACACCCGAUUCUUUCCUUCUCCUCAAACUAAAAAUAAAGUACCAACAUCUCAUUAUCAAUCAAUCCAGUCCACUACUCUUUAGUCAAUAACAAAACUCAACAAUCAAAUAAGAGUAAGUUGAGUCAAAUUUCAAAAUAAGAACAAGAGUCAGCGACUUAC